Long non-coding RNA from Ahaetulla prasina, 3169 nucleotides. RefSeq lists it as uncharacterized. The transcript has 2 exons. The record is from RefSeq and is a predicted model, not a curated record. Lineage: Eukaryota; Metazoa; Chordata; Lepidosauria; Squamata; Colubridae.
UACAAAAAGGUUAAUUAUGAAUAUUUAGAAAUAAAGAGAAGGAGCAGGAAGAUAAAAGUUAAGAGUUGGUGCUGAAAGUCGGUGCUGAAAAUUGUAAAAUUGUAUAUAUCUGUUGUUAGUAGUAUAGUUUAACGUUUGAUGUAAGUGUAUGUAUGGUUUUUUUUUCUCGUGUUUUCUUUUGUUAUUGUGUGUUUGGUUUUAAAAAUGUAAAAUACUCAAUAAAAAUUAUUUAACAACAACAAAAAAAAAGACCGUCAUUCACUUCACAAUGAUGGUAGGGAACGUCUAAAAACGGGGCCAAAACUCACUUGGGCAAAUGUCUCACUUAGCAACAAAAAGGUUGAGGUCGUAAGUCGAGGACUACCCAUGCUACCUGUACUGAGUGAGCCCAAAAUUUCUGUUGCUAAGCAAGGCAGGUGUUCAGUUCGUUUUUUGCUCCAUUUUACGAUUUUUGUUUUUGCCGGUUAGGCAAAUCACUGCAGUUGUUAAGUGAAUCACACGGUUGGUAAGCAAAUCUGGCUUCCCCCCCAUUGACUUUGUCAGAAGCUGCUGGGAAGGUUACGAAGGGGGAAUUACGUGACCCUGGGACGCUGCAACCAUCACAAAUACCUGCCCGUUGCUGAACAGCUGGAUUUUGAUCACAUUUUUUUUUAAAUUUACAUUUAUAUCCCGCCCUUCUCCGAAGACUCAGGGCGGCUUACAGUGUGUAAGGCAAUAGUCUCAUUCUAUUUGUAUAUUUACAAAGUCAACUUAUUGCCCCCCCAACAAUCUGGGUCCUCAUUUUACCUACCUUAUAAAGGAUGGAAGGUUGAGUCAACCUUGGACCUGGUGGGACUAGAACCUGCAGUAAUUGCAGGGAGCUGUGUUUUAAUAACAGGCUUCUUACAGCCUGAGCCACACCGCGGCCCUUGAGCCACACCGCGGCAUCACAUGACCAAGGGGUGCUCCAGCAGUGGAGUGAAAAGCAGUCAUAUGUCUGAGGACCCCAAUCCCUGGGCCCUCGGCCUACUACUGGGCCAUUGUCUGUUUGAAACUGGGCCAUGUGAGCAUCUGGACAGCAUGAUUGCACGCACGUGCAACUUAAUUUGUGUGAGCAACGGGCUGGUGUGUGCACUUGUGCAGUUUGACUUGUGCAACCAGCUGGCUGGUUCCCCUCUCUCCCCAUACCUGCCUGCUGGGCUGCCAAGCCGUACAGAUUGGGAAUUAUUGUCCCAAGUCACAUUUUUUCCGUGCCAUUGUAACUUCGGUUGCUAAAUGAAUGGUUGUUAGCAGUGGUGGAAUGCUGGAGGUUGAACAACCGGUCCGGUGAGUGCGCGCUUUGCCUGCGCAUGGACCUAAGGCGUUUGCGCGCAGCACUGAAAAGGGAGCAUUUAGAAGCCCAGCUACUUACCUUCCAAGUCAGCAACCCCCCCCAUGUCGUAUAAUUCCUAUUGGCGACCUUCCCAGGGGAUUGUUGUGGUCUGCCAGCAGUCUGCAGAGCUGGCAACGGAGUCGGACAGCGAUGAGGCUGAGGUGAGGCCAGGGCCAUCGGAAGUGAUGUGCAGACUCCAGAGCCUCCAAAGUCUGACAGUAGUGAGGCAGAGGAACAGGAGGAGCCUGUUCCUAAUGCACAGAUGAGAACUUUCAGAAGGCAAGAGCAGCUCAAGCAGAUAGGACGACUCAGGAGUAGGGCCAAGAGAUGAUUGGCCCCUCCCAUAAGGCAUAAAAGACCAGCAACGGCAUUUGGGCUUUGCCGGAAAACAUUGGCAGUUUCGUCUUCUGCUUCGUCUACGUCUUGCAUUUAUUUUUGUGACUUCUGAACGUUUGCCAAGGAAGGCCUUUGGCAGUUUGCCUAAUUGGACCAAGGUUUGCGAUACGACUGAGGAAUUUGUGUUGGGAGGAAUUUGCUUUAAUUUAGUUGAACUACGCUGGGAAUGAAGUAAUUCUCAGCUGUUCGAAUAAAGUUUUUUUUCCCACGGGCUGAGUUUCCUACUACCUACUUGGCCCUGGGUCACAACAGGGAUGUCCAACAAGCAAAGUCAAUGUGGGGAUUCCCUUUAUGAUUGCAUGUUUCGUUUAACGACUGCCAUGGCUAUUUUUUUUUCUUUUUGUAAUGGAAAAAAACAGGUUUGAAAGAUCGGGUGUAACUUAUUUAACGAACACAUCACUUCAUGAUCAAAGUUCCAGUUCCAGUUGUGGUUGUUAAAUCCUAAUAUCAUUUUCUUCUACACAAGUCUACAGUUCUCUAUCCCAAGAGAUCAGAAGAGGUGAUGCAGAAGCCACAUCUUAAAGCUUCAUCCCUAAAUCACAUCUGGUCAGGUGGCUCAGUGGCUGAGCUUGUCGAUCGAAAGGUUGGCAGUUCAGCGGUUCGAAUCCCUAGUGCCGCGUUUAAACGGGGUGAGCUCCCGUUCCUUGUCCCAGCUUCUGCCAACCUAGCAGUUCGAAAGCAUGUAAAAAAUGGAAGUAGAAAAAUAGGGACCACCUUUGGUGGGAACAGCGUUCCGUGCGCCUUUGGCGUUGAGUCGUAGAUAGAUAGGCAGAUACCGGUAGAUAGAUACUGAUAGGUAGGUAGGUAGGUAGGUAGGUAGGUAGAUAUAGAGACAGAUAAGAUAGAUAGGUAAGUAGAUAUAGAGAUAGAUAGACAAGACAGCUAGGUAGGUAGAGAGAUUAGAUAGAUAGAUAGAUAAAUGGAUGGAUUGUAAUGAUGGAUGGAAAGAGAGAACAGAUUUAUCAUCUGUUGAUUUGCUCCUGGAGUAAAUAUUAAUGUCUGGUGUUCUUUUUUCGACCAAGAAACAGUAAGAGCUGUUUCAAUGGGGAGCUCCCGCUAAGCUUUCUCCCCCUAACCAGACCAUCUCCCCACAGAGUCUGAGGGUCCAUUCUGAAAGUGACUGGGAGGAGCAUGGAAGGAACAUGCAGGAGGAGAGCGUAUUCCCAGGACAAAGCACCGACACUACCGCUUGCUUAAGGUGGAACCAUUUUUAUUUGACACGGACAUGUAUUUCGAUAAAAAUCUGUUAUUUUCGAAACCACUCUCUUUCCAAACGGUCUCCAUGCUCCAGAAGUUAACUCUUCUUUCCCAAUCUUAAUCUCUAAGCUAUUUACAUCUUUAACUACCUUAGGAAAGCAAAACCUUUUGUCGUAAGGGUACAACUUAGCGAUUCUAUCCCAAAGCUACCAAAAAAAAAAAGAA